Molecule: long non-coding RNA, 100 nt
Organism: Sphaeramia orbicularis (orbiculate cardinalfish)
Lineage: Eukaryota; Metazoa; Chordata; Actinopteri; Kurtiformes; Apogonidae
Exons: 3
Source: RefSeq, a predicted model, not a curated record
UCAGGUUUUUAAAGGGUUAACAGAUGUAGUCGCAAGCCGUUUUCAACAUUUUUCAUUGGUUAAAUGUUUCUAAAACCAUCAGGCCAAUGUGAAGACUGAC